This 133-nucleotide ribosomal RNA is filed under the name uncultured bacterium. RNAcentral describes it as "partial 16S ribosomal RNA". The record is from RNAcentral.
CUUAUUCUUACAGUACCGUCAGUUACCCACACGUGGGUAAGUUUCUUCCUGUACAAAAGCAGUUUACAACCCAUAGGGCAGUCUUCCUGCACGCGGCAUGGCUGGGUCAGAGUUGCCUCCAUUGCCCAAUAUU